GAUAAACGCUGGCGGCGUGCCUAAUACAUGCAAGUCGAGCGAACGGACGAGAAGCUUGCUUCUCUGAUGUUAGCGGCGGACGGGUGAGUAACACGUGGAUAACCUACCUAUAAGACUGGGAUAACUUCGGGAAACCGGAGCUAAUACCGGAUAAUAUUUUGAACCGCAUGGUUCAAAAGUGAAAGACGGUCUUGCUGUCACUUAUAGAUGGAUCCGCGCUGCAUUAGCUAGUUGGUAAGGUAACGGCUUACCAAGGCAACGAUGCAUAGCCGACCUGAGAGGGUGAUCGGCCACACUGGAACUGAGACACGGUCCAGGCUCCUACGGGAGGCAGCAGUAGGGAAUCUUCCGCAAUGGGCGAAAGCCUGACGGAGCAACGCCGCGUGAGUGAUGAAGGUCUUCGGAUCGUAAAACUCUGUUAUUAGGGAAGAACAUAUGUGUAAGUAACUGUGCACAUCUUGACGGUACCUAAUCAGAAAGCCACGGCUAACUACGUGCCAGCAGCCGCGGUAAUACGUAGGUGGCAAGCGUUAUCCGGAAUUAUUGGGCGUAAAGCGCGCGUAGGCGGUUUUUUAAGUCUGAUGUGAAAGCCCACGGCUCAACCGUGGAGGGUCAUUGGAAACUGGAAAACUUGAGUGCAGAAGAGGAAAGUGGAAUUCCAUGUGUAGCGGUGAAAUGCGCAGAGAUAUGGAGGAACACCAGUGGCGAAGGCGACUUUCUGGUCUGUAACUGACGCUGAUGUGCGAAAGCGUGGGGAUCAAACAGGAUUAGAUACCCUGGUAGUCCACGCCGUAAACGAUGAGUGCUAAGUGUUAGGGGGUUUCCGCCCCUUAGUGCUGCAGCUAACGCAUUAAGCACUCCGCCUGGGGAGUACGACCGCAAGGUUGAAACUCAAAGGAAUUGACGGGGACCCGCACAAGCGGUGGAGCAUGUGGUUUAAUUCGAAGCAACGCGAAGAACCUUACCAAAUCUUGACAUCCUUUGACAACUCUAGAGAUAGAGCCUUCCCCCUCGGGGGACAAAGUGACAGGUGGUGCAUGGUUGUCGUCAGCUCGUGUCGUGAGAUGUUGGGUUAAGUCCCGCAACGAGCGCAACCCUUAAGCUUAGUUGCCAUCAUUAAGUUGGGCACUCUAAGUUGACUGCCGGUGACAAACCGGAGGAAGGUGGGGAUGACGUCAAAUCAUCAUGCCCCUUAUGAUUUGGGCUACACACGUGCUACAAUGGACAAUACAAAGGGCAGCGAAACCGCGAGGUCAAGCAAAUCCCAUAAAGUUGUUCUCAGUUCGGAUUGUAGUCUGCAACUCGACUACAUGAAGCUGGAAUCGCUAGUAAUCGUAGAUCAGCAUGCUACGGUGAAUACGUUCCCGGGUCU
This 1372-nucleotide ribosomal RNA is filed under the name uncultured bacterium. Its description in RNAcentral is "bacterial SSU rRNA". It matches the Rfam family "Bacterial small subunit ribosomal RNA", at positions 28 to 1381 of the family's 1533-position model. The record is from RNAcentral.